RNAcentral lists this ribosomal RNA (461 nucleotides) under uncultured bacterium. Its description in RNAcentral is "bacterial SSU rRNA". It matches the Rfam family "Bacterial small subunit ribosomal RNA", at positions 28 to 507 of the family's 1533-position model. The record is from RNAcentral.
GAUGAACGUUGGCGGCGUGCCUAAUACAUGCAAGUCGAACGAAGACUGUAGUAAUACUGUCUUAGUGGCGAACGGGUGAGUAACGCGUGGGUGACCUGCCCCGAAGUGUGGGAUAACAGUUCGAAAGAACUGCUAAUACCGCAUAACAUCCAAGAGAUUAGAAGCUUUUGGAUUAAAGGAGUAAUUCGCUUCGGGAGGGGCCCGCGUCCCAUCAGCUAGUUGGUAAGGUAAUGGCUUACCAAGGCGAUGACGGGUAGGGGACCUGAGAGGGUGGCCCCCCACAAUGGAACUGAAACACGGUCCAUACACCUACGGGUGGCAGCAGUAGGGAAUAUUAGUAAUGGGCGAAAGCCUGAACUAGCAACGCCGCGUGUGCGAAGAAGGCCUUCGGGUUGUAAAGCACUUUUGUAGAGGAUGAGGAAGGACGGUACGUCUCAGAAUAAGUCUCGGCUAACUACGUG